This 571-nucleotide ribosomal RNA is filed under the name uncultured Tuber. RNAcentral describes it as "eukaryotic LSU rRNA". The stretch from base 169 to 322 matches the Rfam family "5.8S ribosomal RNA". The record is from RNAcentral. Lineage: Eukaryota; Fungi; Ascomycota; Pezizomycetes; Pezizales; Tuberaceae.
UCUUGGUCAUUUAGAGGAAGUAAAAGUCGUAACAAGGUUUCCGUAGGUGAACCUGCGGAAGGAUCAUUAUUAUAAUGCGUGGAAAUGCCCCCUAACAGGGGCAUACUCUAGAAAACUCUAAACUUACAGUCUGAGAAGGCCAUGGGCCAUAACCUUUAAACAUUUUAAAACUUUCAACAACGGAUCUCUUGGCUCUCGCAUCGAUGAAGAACGCAGCGAAAUGCGAUAAGUAAUGUGAAUUGCAGAAUUCAGUGAAUCAUCGAAUCUUUGAACGCACAUUGCGCCCUUUGGCAUUCCAUAGGGCAUGCCUGUUCGAGCGUCACUAACAACCCCAUCACAAAGAGUGUGGUAUUGGCAGAAGUGGGUAGGGCUGGCAGUGCUGGCCCCACUCUGCUGGAAUGAAUAGGCCGGAAAUGUAGACAAUGGUGACAGACUUUCAGAGUAUCUCGUAAUGCUAAAUUAGUUUGUAGGCCGGUCAGAAUCCAGGCUGUUGGACCCCCAUUCUGUGUAAAGCAGUAAUGUUGACCUCGGAUCAGGUAGGGAUACCCGCUGAACUUAAGCAUAUCAAUAA